AGUAUUUCAUGUGACUGGCUUCAUUCUCAUGAAACUAAACCACAUAUAUUUAACUAUCUCCUUAAGCUUAGCUUAAAACCAAAUAUAUAUAAUUGUUACUGGUGGCCAAAGAAAUCAGUUCAUUUUGGGUCACUCAUUUUAGCUGAGUGGACAUUCCUAAUGGAUUAAAAAACAAAACACAGUGCUUUAAAAUGCACUUAAUUUUUUUUUUUCCCCCGCGGUGGUGGUGACUCUGGGCUUCUUCUGCAGUGCUUUAAGCUAAGCUCCCCAGAACUAGUGUUGAUAUUGUUUCUUUAACAUUAAUCUUCAGUGACAUAAUUAUUUCUUUUUAAAUAAUCAGUAUGCUAAGCAUUAUAGGACUGGGAAGCUACUGACUGAAAAGAGAUGUGCCGUAAUGAAGGUACUCCUUUUUUUAGAUAAUUUCGGCUGCUUAUCAGAACAGAAGCAGCUGUAUUUUGGACUUACUUAGAGUUGCUAUUUAAUGCACCAUGAAAAAGCAACAAGUGCUCCACCAGAAAAAUCAUGUUUUGUUGAAAGAAGUAAAGCAAAAUGAGUUUCAGCUCUAUACCACGGAAACUCACAAAAGUAGGGGAAAGAUCAACUUGAGAGUAUAUUUUUCGGUGUUCGAAGUCAGUUAAAAAAGCAAAUUUGUACUUUGAACUUAGUGUCUAUUGCCUCAGAGUAAAAAUAUUUUUAGAAUCCUUAUCAGUCAGAAAAUUCUCUUCUUCAAACAAAAUGAACUGGAAUGUAGAGCUAAAAUAACCCCAUUUUAGUUUGUGGAAUGGCUGUUGAGCCUUUAUUUUUACAAGCAAAUGGCAAACGCUUGCUCCAAUGUAUAGCUGAUGCAAAUUAAGCACAUACUCUGUUUCAUAAAUGAAGGGGGAAUUAUUGGAAACACUCUUGCACUGAUCAGUAAAAACCGAUUACCAUCAAAGAAGGGCCUGAUUACUAACCACCAUCUUAGUGUUUAGCUGUACCGUCUGGCCGGCUCAGAGGGGAAAAUUUGCUGAGCUUAAAAAAUGUUUAUUCUGACUUUCAACUCAUGCAUGUAUAGAACACAGAUGAGGAAACAUCUGAUGUCCUUUGGAUUCUUGUUGUUAAACAAACGUUAACUCAUCUUCAAGCAAAAAUUUAGUCGUUUUUCUUUUUUCCCCCUCACUGAUUUGGUUUCUUAAGCUAUUGAGUUACAAGCACUAUGGAAAUAAGCACUAAAAAAAAACCUAAGGGUGAUUAGAGCCCUUAAAAAUAUCUGAAGGAUAAUGCUGACCUCAUGUUUUUUCACAUACACUUUGAUCUAGGUGGAAUUUUAUUAUUGUAAUUUAACUCAUGUGGCGUGGAGGCCACAUUCAAGGCACAGACCUGAGUGCUUACUGGAGACAGAUGAACUCAGGACUUGCCUGUGCCUGGCUGCAGCACUUUUGCUCUAACUCAUGCCUUGUCUAUGGAUGGCACUGCUUUUCCCACCGUUUAGUGUUGGUUAAUUAUUGCCAACCUGUAGAGCAAAUGACUCUGCUUAACAGUCAUUUUCCCUGAAAACCCUUCCUUGAUUAUUCAAGAUUAAGUCCUUAGUGUCACAAGUUUACCCAUUCCAUAGCACGUACAGUUGUCAUCAUGAUUUCUUAUUCGAUUACCAAUCUUACCUCCCCAAGCCUGUAAACAUAAUUCAGUGACUGCAUUUUUAUUCACCACUGUAUUCCAGGUCCUAAAACUAACCCUGACACAUACCGGCCACUCGGUAAAUAUGGGUUGAAUGAAUGAAUGAACAAAUGGACAGAGAAAUGAAUGAGACACCUUCUCUGUCCUCAUUUCAGUUUAAAUUUAGGAACAAGGCAUGAGUAAAAGUGUGAGGAGACAAAGCAGAGGAAGGCAAGUGCUGAAAGUUAUGAUCGCGUGCAGUGAUGGCCAUUAAGAUGAUCUUCGUACAGGAAUUCAUACAGGAAUUUUUUUAAAGAUAAAUGCUGGCUUAUGCAGGCUCUGAAGACUUAUUUUUUAUAUCCAUUCUUAAUUAAACUAAUGUUGAAAAUAGUACACAUUUAUGGUAAAAAGCCUUCAGUCCUCUUUGGGGGUCAUUUAUUUGCUUGCUCUCUGGGAAGCUUCUUUCAUAAAAGGAUGCCCUUUUACUAGAUCCCAACUGGGAGCUUUAUGGGAUUAUUUUUUUCCUACUUAACAAAAGUGGGAUUUAAACUCUAAUUUCCAAAAACAUAGUGGCUAGCUAAAAUUGGUAUUGAUUUAAUGUUCUGGGUCAAUUUUAAGUGAUAAAUUAACAUUAGCAAAAAAAGAAGUUUCUAAAUUCUGUAAAUCACAUGGGAUUUUUCAUCGGCUCAUUCCCUUACAAUCUUUUUCUCAGGGAUAAGGUUUUCUAAGUCAAUAUUUUCCCAAAUGCAUGCCCUUUUGUCUUCCAUUAAAUAUGGUAGUCUUUGUUUCUUCAAUGGCCAUGUGAGAACAGAAGGAAAAUUUCUUCUCAGAGAAGACAGAGCAAAGUAAUAUUCUUGCCAAAAGUUAUCACAGUUUAAUAGCAAGAAGGAAUGUACACGUCUCUAAACAAAAUGUGCAAUGCUUUCUGAUGCUGACACCAUUUAUUUAGUCUUAUUAAAUAGCUGGUAAAAUGAUCCAAGUUUCAGAGAAACACAAGCUGUGAGUGGCUGCUGCACGUGACAAAAAAAAAAAAAAAGACAGCCCCAAAAAGCAGCAGGGAGAAGAUGUGCGCAGAGUCUGGGAGGAUCACCUUUCUCCACAGCUUUCCCUUCCAAACCUCCAAACCCAGGCACUGCUUUCCUCUUGCACUCCUCUUCUCCUGAUAUCCAUUCAUUCACCUUAUUUCUACACUCUUACCCCUUCCAUAUUUUUAAUUAACUUUUCUCUUUGUGCUUGCACACUUGCUUUGCUUUGCUUUCAAUCUAUAGUUAUUUUAUGGGUGGCUUGGCACCUCAACCAGAUGGGAAUUAAGUGGAAGGCAGAAGUUGGCUUGCACACACAACCUCUAAAUAAAUGCAGGCCUGGGAAGGAUGAUUCAUGCUUUACCUGUAUUCUUUCAGCUGCAGUCAGUGUUUUUCCAAUCUUGGUAGGCACCAGCAUCACCUGGAAAAUUGUUAAAGCAAAACAUGCUUUGACUUGACUCCAGACAUACUGGGGCUUAAAUCUCUGUAUUUAUUUGCCAAGUAGUUCAAAAUUUAGUAGUUGGGGGAAUGGGAUCACCAACCAUUAUGGUUUGCCAAGGAACGAAGGAUUUCCUGAGCUGUGUGCUAAAGCCUGAAUACUUCUGAGUAAAUUGAGACAUUUAGUUACCCUAUUUAGGGUUGAAGAUGAGGGCCAAAAUAGUGCAUGCAUCUGUCCUGCAACUCUCUAUCUAGUUCUCAGCACUUCAACUUAAGGCUAAUAUUAGACCAAGACCCACUUCCUCUAGAAAUAAAUCCUUUUCUCCCCCAUACUUUCUUGGUCAAAUAAGGUUACAGACUUAUUUGGCACUUACUUAAGUAGUUUUUUUUUUCAUCCUUAGGAUGGUUCUCAAUUUGUUGACUGAUGAAAUCAUAAAACGUAACGUAACCCUCUAGGUAGCAGAGGAUGUGCUUUGUAACAUCAUCCAGCACUCCUUGUUGCAUUAUCCUACAGUCUCAGUAAUCUGCAUUGUCUCACAGAUCAAGCCAUUUGCUCAUUCAGUCUGUUCUGUGCCAAACAUAUUGAUAACACAUACACUGAAGGACUGCUGGCAUUGCCCCUCCCCAGAAUAAGCAAACAAGUCAUCUUUAAAAGCAAGUUGUUUCAGCCACUUUGAUAGAAAUUAAGUUGCAUACAAGGUCACAAAGUACAUCAGUGAACUAACUGGAAACACAACCCAACAAGGCCCACUCCCAAGCCUGAGCACUUUACUGGAUCACGCUUCCUUCCUCGGUGAAAGGCUUCCCACGGCAGGAAGAACCGGAGAGCAAGCCUCUAAAUUAUACAUGACUGUUUGUCUCAUUUUCACUCCGUGGCUAAUUGAAGACACAGGGGAGUGCUGCUUUUUUGGCUUCAUCUCUCAUCGCAUCUCAUUUGUCUCACACGUGUCGGGGAGUGCACUCUGCAGGUUAGCUUUAUGAAGGGUUGAAUGGAAUUUGGUGAGCUUUGAGGAGUCCCAGGAUUACAAGUUCUUUGUCUUGGUUCACAACAAGCUGUGCAGUCCCCUUUUGUUUGUUUCCUCAUUUGCCAUUUUAAAAUAAAGUAAAUACCUAAUGCUAGAUGACGAGUUAGUGGGUGCAGUGCACCAGCAUGGCACAUGUAUACAUAUGUAACUAACCUGCACAAUGUGCACAUGUACCCUAAAACUUAAAGUAUAAUAAUAAUAAAAAAAGUCAAGCAUAGGAGAUCCACAGUUGAUAGGAAAG
This 4361-nucleotide long non-coding RNA is filed under the name Homo sapiens (human). RNAcentral's name for it is "HSALNT0374591". The record is from RNAcentral. Lineage: Eukaryota; Metazoa; Chordata; Mammalia; Primates; Hominidae.